RNAcentral lists this ribosomal RNA (431 nucleotides) under Streptococcus vestibularis. Its description in RNAcentral is "bacterial SSU rRNA". It matches the Rfam family "Bacterial small subunit ribosomal RNA", at positions 28 to 449 of the family's 1533-position model. Lineage: Bacteria; Bacillati; Bacillota; Bacilli; Lactobacillales; Streptococcaceae. The record is from RNAcentral.
GACGAACGCUGGCGGCGUGCCUAAUACAUGCAAGUAGAACGCUGAAGAGAGGAGCUUGCUCUUCUUGGAUGAGUUGCGAACGGGUGAGUAACGCGUAGGUAACCUGCCUUGUAGCGGGGGAUAACUAUUGGAAACGAUAGCUAAUACCGCAUAACAAUGGGUGACACAUGUCAUUUAUUUGAAAGGGGCAAUUGCUCCACUACAAGAUGGACCUGCGUUGUAUUAGCUAGUAGGUGAGGUAACGGCUCACCUAGGCGACGAUACAUAGCCGACCUGAGAGGGUGAUCGGCCACACUGGGACUGAGACACGGCCCAGACUCCUACGGGAGGCAGCAGUAGGGAAUCUUCGGCAAUGGGGGCAACCCUGACCGAGCAACGCCGCGUGAGUGAAGAAGGUUUUCGGAUCGUAAAGCUCUGUUGUAAGUCAAGAA